This 157-nucleotide ribosomal RNA is filed under the name Lobothallia pruinosa. Its description in RNAcentral is "5.8S ribosomal RNA". It matches the Rfam family "5.8S ribosomal RNA". Rfam says of the family: 5.8S ribosomal RNA (5.8S rRNA) is a component of the large subunit of the eukaryotic ribosome. It is transcribed by RNA polymerase I as part of the 45S precursor that also contains 18S and 28S rRNA. Lineage: Eukaryota; Fungi; Ascomycota; Lecanoromycetes; Pertusariales; Megasporaceae. The record is from RNAcentral.
AAACUUUCAACAACGGAUCUCUUGGCUCUGGCAUCGAUGAAGAACGCAGCGAAAUGCGAUAAGUAAUGUGAAUUGCAGAAUUCAGUGAAUCAUCGAAUCUUUGAACGCACAUUGCGCCCUCUGGUAUUCUGGGGGGCAUGCCUGUUCGAGCGUCAUU